UACGUAUGGUGCAAGCGUUAUCCGGAUUUACUGGGUGUAAAGGGAGCGCAGGCGGCGCGGCAAGUCCGUUGUGAAAACCCCCGGCUCAACCGGGGGACUGCAUUGGAAACUACCGGGCUGGAGUGCCGGGGAGGUAGGCGGAAUUCCUGGUGUAGCGGUGAAAUGCGUAGAUAUCAGGAGGAACACCAGUGGCGAAGGCGGCCUACUGGACGGUGACUGACGCUGAGGCUCGAAAGCGUGGGGAGCAAACAGG
This 253-nucleotide ribosomal RNA is filed under the name uncultured bacterium. Its description in RNAcentral is "partial 16S ribosomal RNA". It matches the Rfam family "Bacterial small subunit ribosomal RNA", at positions 524 to 776 of the family's 1533-position model. The record is from RNAcentral.